This 407-nucleotide ribosomal RNA is filed under the name uncultured Actinomycetes bacterium. RNAcentral describes it as "bacterial SSU rRNA". It matches the Rfam family "Bacterial small subunit ribosomal RNA", at positions 39 to 435 of the family's 1533-position model. The record is from RNAcentral. Lineage: Bacteria; Bacillati; Actinomycetota; Actinomycetes.
UUAGAGGGAACUCGGCGUGCUUUACCGUGCAAACCGAACGAUGAAGUGGAGCUUGCUCCACGGAUUAGUGGCGAACGGGUGAGGAACACGUGAGAAACCUGCCUCGGAUUUUGGGAUAACAAAUGGAAACGUUUGCUAAUACCAAAUAACGUCGGAGAGUCACAUGACUUUCUGACGAAAGGAAUUCCGAUUCGAGAGGGUCUCGCGGCCUAUCAGCUUGUUGGCGGGGUAAUGGCCCACCAAGGCAACGACGGGUAGCUGGUCUGAGAGGAUGGUCAGCCACACUGGGACUGAGACACGGCCCAGACUCCUACGGGAGGCAGCAGUGGGGAAUCUUGCGCAAUGGGCGAAAGCCUGACGCAGCAACGCCGCGUGCGGGAAGAAGGCUUUCGGGCUGUAAACCGCUU